CGGAGCUGUGAGGCGACUGCGGG
Molecule: non-coding RNA, 23 nt
Filed under: Cricetulus griseus (Chinese hamster)
Lineage: Eukaryota; Metazoa; Chordata; Mammalia; Rodentia; Cricetidae
Source: RNAcentral